ACGGGAGGCAGCAGUGGGGAAUAUUGGGCAAUGGGCGAAAGCCUGACCCAGCAACGCCGCGUGAAGGAAGAAGGUCUUCGGAUUGUAAACUUCUUUUAUGAGGGACGAAGGAAUUGACGGUACCUCAUGAAUAAGCCACGGCUAACUACGUGCCAGCAGCCGCGGUAAUACGUAGGUGGCAAGCGUUAUCCGGAUUUACUGGGUGUAAAGGGCGCGUAGGCGGGGAAGCAAGUCAGAUGUGAAAUCCAUGGGCUCAACUCAUGAACUGCAUUUGAAACUGUUUUUCUUGAGUGUCGGAGAGGUAGAUGGAAUUCCUAGUGUAGCGGUGAAAUGCGUAGAUAUCAGGAGGAACACCGGUGGCGAAGGCGGUUUACUGGACGACAACUGACGCUGAGACACGAAAGCGUGGGGAGCAAACAGGAUUAGAUACCCUGGUA
RNAcentral lists this ribosomal RNA (437 nucleotides) under uncultured Oscillospiraceae bacterium. RNAcentral's name for it is "bacterial SSU rRNA". It matches the Rfam family "Bacterial small subunit ribosomal RNA", at positions 341 to 792 of the family's 1533-position model. The record is from RNAcentral. Lineage: Bacteria; Bacillati; Bacillota; Clostridia; Eubacteriales; Oscillospiraceae.